ACUCUAGCCUAGUGGUUAGCGCUCUGGCCUAGCAGGCUGCUAUGCCAGGUGCUGCAGGUUCAAUUCCUGUCUAAAGUA
RNAcentral lists this transfer RNA (78 nucleotides) under Auricularia subglabra TFB-10046 SS5. Its description in RNAcentral is "tRNA-Ala". Lineage: Eukaryota; Fungi; Basidiomycota; Agaricomycetes; Auriculariales; Auriculariaceae. The record is from RNAcentral.